AGAGUUUGAUCAUGGCUCAGAAUCAACGCUGGCGGCGUGCCUAACACAUGCAAGUCGCACGAGAAAGGGGAGCAAUCCCUGAGUAAAGUGGCGCACGGGUGAGUAACACGUGAAUUAUCUACCUCCGAGUGGGGAAUAACUGAGAGAAAUCUUAGCUAAUACCGCAUAACACUUACGAGUCAAAGCAGCAAUGCGCUUGGAGAGGAGUUCGCGGCCGAUUAGUUAGUUGGCGGGGUAAUGGCCCACCAAGACGAUGAUCGGUAUCCGGCCUGAGAGGGCGCACGGACACACUGGAACUGAAACACGGUCCAGACUCCUACGGGAGGCAGCAGUGGGGAAUUUUGCGCAAUGGGGGAAACCCUGACGCAGCAACGCCGCGUGGAGGAUGAAAUAUCUUGGUAUGUAAACUCCUUUCGAUGGGGAAGAUUAUGACGGUACCCAUAGAAGAAGCCCCGGCUAACUUCGUGCCAGCAGCCGCGGUAAUACGAGGGGGGCAAGCGUUGUUCGGAUUUAUUGGGCGUAAAGGGUGCGUAGGCGGUUUGGCAAGUCUGAUGUGAAAUCUAUGGGCUCAACCCAUAGUCUGCAUCAGAAACUGCCGGGCUUGAGUAUGGGAGAGGUGAGUGGAAUUUCCGGUGUAGCGGUGAAAUGCGUAGAUAUCGGAAGGAACACCUGUGGCGAAAGCGGCUCACUGGACCAUAACUGACGCUGAUGCACGAAAGCUAGGGGAGCAAACAGGAUUAGAUACCCUAGUAGUCC
Molecule: ribosomal RNA, 756 nt
Filed under: uncultured bacterium
Lineage: Bacteria
Description: bacterial SSU rRNA
Rfam family: Bacterial small subunit ribosomal RNA
Source: RNAcentral